Long non-coding RNA from Gossypium raimondii (Peruvian cotton), 586 nucleotides. RefSeq lists it as uncharacterized. Lineage: Eukaryota; Viridiplantae; Streptophyta; Magnoliopsida; Malvales; Malvaceae. The record is from RefSeq and is a predicted model, not a curated record. The transcript has 2 exons.
GUUCAAAAACCUCUCAACUCUCUCUCAACUCCCCAGAAUCCGACUAGCUUUGGUCGUCGGACCACCAUGGCAGCCUCCGGCAGUCGGCGACGACGCCGCCGUUCGCAAUGGCCAGAAAAUCGAAAACGUCCAUUUUUUUGGGCUUUUCGACUCCCCGACUCAAAAAACACCGAUUUUUAUCAGAAUCGACACCUCCUCCGCAAAAAGGUACAGACAUGGCAGCACACGUGGAGGAGGCAGCGCGAAGGGCGUCUACUGUUGCGACGUGCGGCGGCUGCUGGUGGUUGCUGAUAGGGUUUUGUUUUUUUGUUUCUUGAAAACAUUGUGGGCUAGCUAGGAUUAGUUUUUAGGUUAUUGGGCUUGUUUUGGGUUUGCUAAUUUGGGCCUUUUUGUUGUACAUGGACUGGACAUUAAUUUAUUGAACUUUUAUUUUUCAUUUGAUUUAUUAUUAUUUUUGUUUGUUGCUUCUAAAUGGGUUUGGACAGAAUUUGGGCUUUACAGAAUUUGGGUUUGAUUUAUUAUUAUUUUUGUUUGUUGCUUCGAUUGUCAUGAGUAUUGUUGUCAAUGCAAGAAAACAUUGGUUCAA